UACGGAGGGUGCAAGCGUUGUUCGGAAUUACUGGGCGUAAAGCGCGCGUAGGCGGUUUGUUAAGUCAGAUGUGAAAGUCCACGGCUCAACCGUGGAAGUGCAUUUGAAACUGGCAGGCUUGAGUACUGGAGGGGGUGGUGGAAUUCCCGGUGUAGAGGUGAAAUUCGUAGAUAUCGGGAGGAAUACCGGUGGCGAAGGCGACCACCUGGCCAGAUACUGACGCUGAGGUGCGAAAGCGUGGGGAGCAAACAGG
Molecule: ribosomal RNA, 253 nt
Filed under: uncultured Desulfobulbaceae bacterium
Lineage: Bacteria; Pseudomonadati; Thermodesulfobacteriota; Desulfobulbia; Desulfobulbales; Desulfobulbaceae
Description: partial 16S ribosomal RNA
Rfam family: Bacterial small subunit ribosomal RNA
Source: RNAcentral